This 652-nucleotide ribosomal RNA is filed under the name uncultured Variovorax sp. RNAcentral's name for it is "bacterial SSU rRNA". It matches the Rfam family "Bacterial small subunit ribosomal RNA", at positions 78 to 726 of the family's 1533-position model. Lineage: Bacteria; Pseudomonadati; Pseudomonadota; Betaproteobacteria; Burkholderiales; Comamonadaceae. The record is from RNAcentral.
AGCAAUCCUGGUGGCGAGUGGCGAACGGGUGAGUAAAGUAUCGGAACGUGCCCAGUCGUGGGGGAUAACGCAGCGAAAGUUGUGCUAAUACCGCAUACGAUCUAUGGAUGAAAGCGGGGGAUCGCAAGACCUCGCGCGAUUGGAGCGGCCGAUAUCAGAUUAGGUAGUUGGUGGGGUAAAGGCUCACCAAGCCGACGAUCUGUAGCUGGUCUGAGAGGACGACCAGCCACACUGGAACUGAGACACGGUCCAGACUCCUACGGGAGGCAGCAGUGGGGAAUUUUGUACAAUGGGCGCAAGCCUGAUCCAGCAAUGCCGCGUGCAGGAUGAAGGCCUUCGGGUUGUAAACUGCUUUUGUACGGAACGAAAAGGCUCUGGUUAAUACCUGGGGCACAUGACGGUACCGUAAGAAUAAGCACCGGCUAACUACGUGCCAGCAGCCGCGGUAAUACGUAGGGUGCGAGCGUUAAUCGGAAUUACUGGGCGUAAAGCGUGCGCAGGCGGUAAUGCAAGACAGAUGUGAAAUCCCCGGGCUUAACCUGGGAACUGCAUUUGUGACUGCAUUGCUGGAGUGCGGCAGAGGGGGAUGGAAUUCCGCGUGUAGCAGUGAAAUGCGUAGAUAUGCGGAGGAACACCGAUGGCGAAGGCAAUC